ACACGGGAAAGGAGGUGGUCCAGAGAAUGCAUUCUUCUAGGACGCGUGAGGUGGCUGCCCGCUAGCAGCCCAGCAUGACCGUCGGUCCAGUGACCGACCGGCUGCUGGCGAAUCCACAGCAGUCACCCGGCCCGCAGGUGCCCCGGUCACAGAGCUACGUCCACCGGGGGCGGUCGCAC
Molecule: small RNA, 179 nt
Filed under: Nocardioides sp. AX2bis
Lineage: Bacteria; Bacillati; Actinomycetota; Actinomycetes; Propionibacteriales; Nocardioidaceae
Description: Actinobacteria sRNA Ms_IGR-5
Rfam family: Actinobacteria sRNA Ms_IGR-5
Source: Rfam by way of RNAcentral